This 450-nucleotide ribosomal RNA is filed under the name uncultured bacterium. Its description in RNAcentral is "partial 16S ribosomal RNA". It matches the Rfam family "Bacterial small subunit ribosomal RNA", at positions 354 to 796 of the family's 1533-position model. The record is from RNAcentral.
GUGGGGAAUCUUCCGCAAUGGACGAAAGUCUGACGGAGCGACGCCGCGUGAGUGAAGAAGGCCUUCGGGUCGUAAAGCUCUGUCAUCAGGGACGAACGGCCGGUGGAGUGGAAAGCCACCGGAUUGACGGUACCUGAGAAGGAAGCCACGGCUAACUACGUGCCAGCAGCCGCGGUAAUACGUAGGUGGCAAGCGUUGUCCGGAAUUAUUGGGCGUAAAGCGCGCGCAGGUGGGAUCUUAAGUCCAUUUUUAAAGUUCGGAGCUCAACUCCGUGAUGGGAUGGAAACUGGGAUUCUUGAGUACCGGAGAGGAAAGCGGAAUUCCCCGUGUAGCGGUGAAAUGCAUAGAUAUUAGGAGGAACACCAGUGGCGAAGGCGGCUUUCUGGACUGUAACUGACACUGAGGCACGAAAGCGUGGGGAGCAAACAGGAUUAGAAACCCUGGUAGUCC